Molecule: ribosomal RNA, 2352 nt
Filed under: Triticum aestivum (bread wheat)
Lineage: Eukaryota; Viridiplantae; Streptophyta; Magnoliopsida; Poales; Poaceae
Description: partial small subunit ribosomal RNA
Source: RNAcentral
AUGAAAAAGCAUUCAAGGGAUUUAUCUUCACAAGCCAAUAAGGAAGAGUUCCAUCACACUCUAGAAGGUGCUAGGGACUGGCAUGUUAACAGAAGUAAAAUUUGUGGUACACCACUUCCGUUGUGGAUCAGUGAUGAUGGCGAAGAAAUUCUAGUUAUGGAUUCCAUUGAGAAACUUGAAAAGUUAUCUGGUGGCAAGGACGCUGUAAGGCUAUAUUUGGUAAAUUCUCAAGUUGCAUGGGUGCAGUCUCUACAUUUCAAAUUGAGUGGUAUUUCUGAUUCUGUGAAAGCUGUACUCCCCCGAUGGUAUAAUUUGUAUAAAUUUCUUGUCCAAAAUGCAAAGAAACUUCACAGCGAGGACCUCACAGCAUUUUCUCCCAUUGACCAUGCUUCACUUCUGAUGUCAUCCAAUGUGUUAGAUGGCUGGCUACACUCAGUAACUGUACGUCUCGUCAAAUUUGUUCGCCAAGAAAUGGAUGAUCCGCUUUACACGGUUGUGCCAUAUUUGGUAAAAUACAUUGACAAUCUUGCUGAAAUUUAUGUGCAUUUUAAUUACUUCCGUCUUGUCGGCUGUACUGACCGAGAGGACCAUAUAAUCUCUCUUUCAAUAAUCUACCAUGCCCUUGUGACAAUUUGUUUGGUAUUGGCUCCAUUUACACCCUUCUUUACUGAAGUUCUUUACCGAAAUCUACGCAAGGUGUCAAACAAGUCAGAGGAGAGCAUUCUUUUCUGCAAUUUUCCUUCAGAAACUGGGGAGAGAGAUGAGCGUCUUGAGCAAAGUGUAGAUAAGAUGACGAUUAUUGGGCUUGGCCACAAUAUUCGUGAACAGCACAAUAUAGCUCUUGAAGUACCACUGAAUGUUGUGACUGUCACUUCAUCUAAGAAACUCAAUAAGUACUCUGUUGCACGGGCUGAACCUAAUGGAAGUGUGCUAGGUGAAAGAUUGGGCAACGACCUGCACAAGGUAACAAAUAAAGUGAAGAAAAUGACCCAGAAACAAAUCUCAGCCUUUGAGAAAACUGGCGAGAUCUCAUUCUAUGAUCAUUGCCUGAAGCGAGAUGAUAUUAAGGUGGUUAGAGAUUUAAAGCCGGCAGUUUUAGCGAAUCAAGUUGGUGUCGCUAUAGAAGGUGAUAUCAUAGUUAUUUUGGAUCUCAGGGAUCAAAAUGCUGGAAUGGUUCUAGAGUGCAAAUCAGAGGAGAGGGAUGCCAGGCACCCACGUGUGGAUUGUGUGAGUCAACAAUCAGGAAAAAACUACAUUUCUGGAAUGGGAGUUCAAGGAUGGCUUCCUUAUUCUCCUCGCCCCCCUCUUCCUUCUCUUACUACUACUACUACCACCACCACCACCACCACUACAGAGGAGGAGGAAGAGGAGGAGGAGGAGGAGGAGGAGGAGGAGGAGGCAAAGCGGCUAGGUGUGGGCACUAAAGGAAAUUACAGAACCAAAGGUUCCGUUAUAGAUUCUGCAAUGAAAAAGUUUGAAAAAAUUGGGUCAGGAGGUUAUGGUACUGUCUACAAGGUAUGUAUGUAUGACACACUGGUUGCCAUUAAGAUCCUUCAUGCUGUAAGUGCAAUCGCGAAGAAGAAUGCGCAAUGUAUGAGAGCAUUUGACACAGAGGUGACUAUACUUGGUAAAAUUCAACAUCCUAAUCUUGUUCGAUUAAUUGGGGCAUGCAAAGAAAGGCUGGCAAUCGUUUAUGAGUUUCUUCCUAAUGGAACACUGGAUGAAAAAAUUCUCUUCCGCAGAGCCACAUUUACAUGGAGGGAGAGAGUCAAAGUUGCUUUUAGCAUAUGCGAUGCCCUUAUUUUCUUGCACAGCAGAUCAGAACCAGUUGCCCAUGGCGACUUGAAACCUAGCAACAUACUAUUUGAUGCAUCACAUAAUGUCAAGUUGGGGGAUUUUGGGAUAUCCCGUAUACUGAAAAAUACAAGCCACAGUGGUACUAAGAUGCAUGUGACCGGUGGUAAACGAGUUGGAACGCGUCAGUACGCUGAUCCAGAAUUUUUGAUGACUGGGCAGUUGACAUCACAGUCGGAUACAUUUGCUUUUGGAGUAAUUCUGAUUCAGCUUGUCACUGGUCGGUUUGCUGGCAUUAUUCAAUCUGUUAAAUCUCAGCUUUCUGAUUCUGGGUUCUGGAAAGAUGAUGAUCAGAAAAAUGCACUAAAAAAAACGAAAGUAAUUGAUGAGACAUUGCAAAUUUCAGAUAGUGAAAUUCUCGAGGUAAUAGAAAUGCUUAAGAUUGGUUUGGACUGUUGCAAUGAAAAACGAAAAGACCGUCCCAGUCUCGUGGAUAUUGUAUUUCCAAAGUUGAAAAUGUUGAAUGAAAAAACUGGUCAGUGCAAGGUGCCAGUUUGA